GGGCGGAUAGCUCAGCGGUGGAGCAUCUCGUUUACACCGAGGAGGUCACAGGUUCAAAUCCUGUUCCGCCCACCA
RNAcentral lists this transfer RNA (75 nucleotides) under Bacillota bacterium. RNAcentral's name for it is "tRNA-Val". It matches the Rfam family "tRNA". Rfam says of the family: Transfer RNA (tRNA) molecules are approximately 80 nucleotides in length. Their secondary structure includes four short double-helical elements and three loops (D, anti-codon, and T loops). Lineage: Bacteria; Bacillati; Bacillota. The record is from RNAcentral.